RNAcentral lists this ribosomal RNA (223 nucleotides) under uncultured bacterium. RNAcentral describes it as "partial 16S ribosomal RNA". It matches the Rfam family "Bacterial small subunit ribosomal RNA", at positions 524 to 746 of the family's 1533-position model. The record is from RNAcentral.
UACGUAGGGUGCAAGCGUUAAUCGGAAUUACUGGGCGUAAAGCGUGCGCAGGCGGUUUUGUAAGUCUGUCGUGAAAGCCCCGGGCUCAACCUGGGAAUUGCGUUGGAGACUGCAAGGCUAGAAUCUGGCAGAGGGGGGUAGAAUUCCACGUGUAGCAGUGAAAUGCGUAGAGAUGUGGAGGAACACCGAUGGCGAAGGCAGCCCCCUGGGUCAAGAUUGACGC